UUUCUAAAAAUAAAACUGGCGGAUACAUAAAAACUCUAAAACCAAAAAUUAAAAAGCGGAUAUAAAGAAAGAAGAACCUUAAAGCACACGGAAUAUAUAAAUACCACAUUCAAAAGCAACAUAGCCGAAAACUCUUUGACAAAACAGUUUGAUGUAUUGAGAAAGAUUACAAAGAUGAUCUUCCAAGAGGACCCAACAUUAGAUUGCCUCAAUAGUUUU
Molecule: small RNA, 219 nt
Filed under: Arabidopsis thaliana (thale cress)
Lineage: Eukaryota; Viridiplantae; Streptophyta; Magnoliopsida; Brassicales; Brassicaceae
Description: ATSL064130
Source: RNAcentral